Molecule: ribosomal RNA, 498 nt
Filed under: uncultured bacterium
Lineage: Bacteria
Description: partial 16S ribosomal RNA
Rfam family: Bacterial small subunit ribosomal RNA
Source: RNAcentral
AUUGAACGCUGGCGGCAUGCCUUACACAUGCAAGUCGAACGGUAACAGGUCUUCGGAUGCUGACGAGUGGCGAACGGGUGAGUAAUACAUCGGAACGUGCCUAGUAGUGGGGGAUAACUACUCGAAAGAGUGGCUAAUACCGCAUGAGAUCUACGGAUGAAAGCAGGGGAUCGCAAGACCUUGUGCUACUAGAGCGGCCGAUGGCAGAUUAGGUAGUCGGUGGGAUAAAAGCUUACCAAGCCGACGAUCUGUAGCUGGUGUGAGAGGACGAUCAGCCACACUGGGACUGAGACACGGCCCAGAUGCCUACGGGAGGCAGCAGUGGGGAAUUUUGGGCAAUGGGCGAAAGCCUGAUCCAGCAAUGCCGCGCGCAGGAUGAAGGCCUUCGGGUUGUAAACUGCUUUUGUACGGAACGAAAAGCCCCGGGUUAAUACCCUGGGGUCAUGACGGUACCGUAAGAAUAAGCACCGGCUAACUACGUGCCAGCAGCCGCCGUAA